Molecule: ribosomal RNA, 253 nt
Filed under: uncultured bacterium
Lineage: Bacteria
Description: partial 16S ribosomal RNA
Rfam family: Bacterial small subunit ribosomal RNA
Source: RNAcentral
UACGGGGGGGGCAAGCGUUGUUCGGAAUUACUGGGCGUAAAGGGUCUGUAGGUGGCCAACUAAGUCAGACGUGAAAUCCCUCAGCUUAACUGGGGAACUGCGUCUGAUACUGGAUGGCUUGAGUGUGGGAGAGGAAUGCGGAAUUCCAGGUGUAGCGGUGAAAUGCGUAGAUAUCUGGAGGAACACCGGUGGCGAAGGCGGCAUUCUGGACCACAACUGACACUGAGAGACGAAAGCCAGGGGAGCAAACGGG